This 1437-nucleotide ribosomal RNA is filed under the name uncultured organism. RNAcentral's name for it is "SSU rRNA". It matches the Rfam family "Bacterial small subunit ribosomal RNA". The record is from RNAcentral.
GCUUAACACAUGCAAGUCGAGGGGCAGCAUGGUCUUAGCUUGCUAAGGCCGAUGGCGACCGGCGCACGGGUGAGUAACACGUAUCCAACCUGCCGUCUACUCUUGGACAGCCUUCUGAAAGGAAGAUUAAUACAAGAUGGCAUCAUGAGUCCGCAUGUUCACAUGAUUAAAGGUAUUCCGGUAGACGAUGGGGGUGCGUUCCAUUAGAUAGUAGGCGGGGUAACGGCCCACCUAGUCUUCGAUGGAUAGGGGUUCUGAGAGGAAGGUCCCCCACAUUGGAACUGAGACACGGUCCAAACUCCUACGGGAGGCAGCAGUGAGGAAUAUUGGUCAAUGGGCGCAGGCCUGAACCAGCCAAGUAGCGUGAAGGAUGACUGCCCUAUGGGUUGUAAACUUCUUUUAUAAAGGAAUAAAGUCGGGUAUGGAUACCCGUUUGCAUGUACUUUAUGAAUAAGGAUCGGCUAACUCCGUGCCAGCAGCCGCGGUAAUACGGAGGAUCCGAGCGUUAUCCGGAUUUAUUGGGUUUAAAGGGAGCGUAGAUGGAUGUUUAAGUCAGUUGUGAAAGUUUGCGGCUCAACCGUAAAAUUGCAGUUGAUACUGGAUAUCUUGAGUGCAGUUGAGGCAGGCGGAAUUCGUGGUGUAGCGGUGAAAUGCUUAGAUAUCACGAAGAACUCCGAUUGCGAAGGCAGCCUGCUAAGCUGCAACUGACAUUGAGGCUCGAAAGUGUGGGUAUCAAACAGGAUUAGAUACCCUGGUAGUCCACACGGUAAACGAUGAAUACUCGCUGUUUGCGAUAUACGGCAAGCGGCCAAGCGAAAGCGUUAAGUAUUCCACCUGGGGAGUACGCCGGCAACGGUGAAACUCAAAGGAAUUGACGGGGGCCCGCACAAGCGGAGGAACAUGUGGUUUAAUUCGAUGAUACGCGAGGAACCUUACCCGGGCUUAAAUUGCAGAUGAAUUACGGUGAAAGCCGUAAGCCGCAAGGCAUCUGUGAAGGUGCUGCAUGGUUGUCGUCAGCUCGUGCCGUGAGGUGUCGGCUUAAGUGCCAUAACGAGCGCAACCCUUGUUGUCAGUUACUAACAGGUUCCGCUGAGGACUCUGACAAGACUGCCAUCGUAAGAUGUGAGGAAGGUGGGGAUGACGUCAAAUCAGCACGGCCCUUACGUCCGGGGCUACACACGUGUUACAAUGGGGGGUACAGAGGGCCGCUACCACGCGAGUGGAUGCCAAUCCCAAAAACCUCUCUCAGUUCGGACUGGAGUCUGCAACCCGACUCCACGAAGCUGGAUUCGCUAGUAAUCGCGCAUCAGCCACGGCGCGGUGAAUACGUUCCCGGGCCUUGUACACACCGCCCGUCAAGCCAUGGGAGCCGGGGGUACCUGAAGUGCGUAACCGCGAGGAGCGCCCUAGGGUAAAACUGGUGACUGGGGCUAAGAC